RNAcentral lists this non-coding RNA (108 nucleotides) under Myxococcus xanthus. Its description in RNAcentral is "TPP sequence". It matches the Rfam family "TPP riboswitch aptamer (THI element)". From Rfam's summary of the family: Vitamin B(1) in its active form thiamin pyrophosphate (TPP) is an essential coenzyme that is synthesised by coupling of pyrimidine and thiazole moieties in bacteria. The previously detected thiamin-regulatory element, thi box was extended, resulting in a new, highly conserved RNA secondary structure, the THI element, which is widely distributed in eubacteria and also occurs in some archaea. Lineage: Bacteria; Pseudomonadati; Myxococcota; Myxococcia; Myxococcales; Myxococcaceae. The record is from RNAcentral. RNAcentral also lists the same sequence under 1 other name.
CCCCGUCGCUAGGGGUGUCCCGGAAGGGACUGAGACGGCCGUGGUCCCGGCCAACCCUUGGAACCUGAACCGGUUCGUACCGGCGGAGGGAAGCGGCCCGGGAGGCUU